RNAcentral lists this ribosomal RNA (482 nucleotides) under uncultured bacterium. Its description in RNAcentral is "bacterial SSU rRNA". It matches the Rfam family "Bacterial small subunit ribosomal RNA", at positions 30 to 506 of the family's 1533-position model. The record is from RNAcentral.
UUGAACGCUGGCGGCAUGCUUUACACAUGCAAGUCGAACGGUAACAGGGAGCUUGCUCCGCUGACGAGUGGCGAACGGGUGAGUAAUGCAUCGGAACGUACCCAGUCGUGGGGGAUAACGUAGCGAAAGUUACGCUAAUACCGCAUACGUCCUGAGGGAGAAAGCGGGGGACCGUAAGGCCUCGCGCGAUUGGAGCGGCCGAUGUCGGAUUAGCUAGUUGGUUGGGUAAAGGCCUACCAAGGCGACGAUCCGUAGCGGGUCUGGGAGGAUGAUCCGCCACACUGGGACUGAGACACGGCCCAGACUCCUACGGGAGGCAGCAGUGGGGAAUUUUGGACAAUGGGGGCAACCCUGAUCCAGCCAUGCCGCGUGAGUGAAGAAGGCCUUCGGGUUGUAAAGCUCUUUCGGCAGGAACGAAAUGGUCACGGUUAAUAACCGUGACUUCUGACGGUACCUGAAGAAGAAGCACCGGCUAACUACGU